GAGAGAGAGAGAGAGAGAGACAGAGACAGAGACAGAGACAGACACAGACACAGACAAAGGGAGAUACAGAGUGACAGAGAUCGAGGAGGGGAGAGAGACAGAAAUAUAGGUGGGGAAAGAGAGACAGGAGGGGGAGAGAGACUGAGACAGAAAGAAAGAUAGACAGGAGGAGGGAGAGCAAGAGAGAGUGAAAGAGAGGGUGAGAGAGAGAUAGAGAAAGGAGGAGGGGAGAGAAACAGAAAGGGAAAGACAGUGAAAGAGAUAAGAGGAGGGGAAAGACAGAGACAUAGAUAGGAGGGGGGAGAGAGAUAAUCAGAAAAAUAGAAAGGAGGGGAGAGAGAGAGAGAAAGGGAGAGACAGAGAGUGACAGAUAGGGGUGGGGAGAGAGAGAGACAGAUAGGAGGGAGAAAGAGACAGAUAGACAAAAGGGGGGAAGAGAGACAGACAAACAGAAAGACAAACAGGAAGGGAGAGACAGAGACAGAAGGCAGAGAGAGAGUGAAAGAGAAGGUGAGAGAGAGACAGAGACAGGAGGGGGACAGAGAAAGAUAAACAGGAGGGGAGAGACAGAGAGAGUGAGGAGAGAGAGACAGAGUGACAGAGAUCAAGGAGGGGAGAGAGACAGAGAGAGGAGGGGGGAGAGGCAGAAAGAAAGACAGGAGGGGGGAAGAGACAGAGGGAGACACACAGACAGAAAGACAGGAGGUGAGAGAUAGAGACAGGAAGGGGAGGUCGAGAGAGAUCAAAAGAGAAGGUGAGAGAGAGACAGAGACAGGAGGGGGAGAGAGACAGACAGACAGGAGGAAAGAGACAGAGACAGGAGUGGGGAGAGACAGACAAACAGAAAGGGAGAGACAGAGUGAAAGAGAUAUAGGGGAGAAGAGUCAUUGAUAGGAGGGGGGAGAGAGACAGUGACAGAGAUAGAGAAGGGGAGAGAGAUAGAGAUAGGAGGGGAAGAGAGAGAAAGAUAGGAGUGGGGAAAGAGAGGAGGGGGGAGAGAGACUGAGACAGAAAGACAGACUGGAGGGGGAAAGUGAGAGAGAGUGAAAGAGAAGGUGAGAGAGAGAUAGACAAAGGAGGUGGGGAGAGAGACAGAAAGGGAGAGACAGUGAACGAGAUAAGAGGAGGGGAAAGACAGAGACAUAGAUAGAAAGGGGAGAGAGAGACAAAAGACAAGAGGGGGAAAGAGGCAGACAGACAGACAGAAAGGAAGAGACAGAAACAGAGUAAGAGAGAUAGAGGGGGGAGAGAAAGAAAUAGUGAGGGGAGAGAGAGAGAUACCCGAGGGAGAGAGGGAAGAGAGGAAGAGGGGGGAAGGAGGAGGAUGGAGGAAAAGACAAAUCAACAGAGUGACCACUUGAGUGAGAGAUGGAUGGGUAUACUGAAAUAGCAAGGGAACAUUACAUAAUUAGAGAAAAUUAACCAGGAAAUGGUAGGUGAAUGGUCAAAAACAAAGAUACAGGGAGAGAAAAACUGAUGGAGAAAGAUAGAUAGAGAGGGUGACAAUGAUUGAUACACAGGCACUGAACGUGUGAAUGGAGAAAUUCGGGCUGUAGGUAAGGUGACAGAGAGAUCUAACUAGCAGAAAGUGGAUGAACAGUAUGAAAUGUAAGAUGACUGACAAAGCAGGGAAGAGAUAAAUGAACAAAAUGAAUCUUGUUAUAGAGAAUGAGACAGAAACGGAUCUCUUAGGCUAAACACUUAGAGAUAAAGUAAUAAAAAGUUAGAGAGAAUUCAGCAUUGCAAAACCCAUGGCUGAAUAGCCCAAGAGAAACAUGUUAUAGUGAAUGCUAAUAUUAAAAACCCAAGAAAAAUGGAAGAGAGUGUAAGACAUCAAGAAAUGAAUUUGUGGAGAAAUUGGAAUCACAAAGAAAAAAUGGUAAGAGAGAUAAAAAUACAUGGAAAGAGUUACACUAAAUGAGAGAUUCUUGGCUGAAGAUGCAUGUAUGAGUGAAAGGAGAAGCCUUAACCAUGAAGCAUUGAAAUCAGUGAAAACACGAAUAGAGAGGAAAGUGUGCAAGGAGAGGUCUAGGGAAGAAUAUAGGGAUGUUUAUAGCAAUCCAGACAGUGAUUGUGACAGGCUAGUGAAAGACAGGCUAAUGGAGAAAUCCACAAAGUGAGCUUUGGAAUAUGAAAGGCGAUUAAUAGUCAAAAUCAAAAUUAGAAGGAAGGAAGGAAUGACAAGAGUUCUACAAUGCAAGAUGAAGUGAGAACAAUUGGCAAGACUGAAAUGAAAUGGUUAGACAGAGCCAUGGAUGAAAGGAUCUUUAGAUUAGCUGAAGAAAGGAGACGUGAAUGGAUGGCAAGGCCUAGAUAGUAACAGAUGAAUGAAUAUUGAGGCAAAAGUAGCAAGAAUAUUGUGAUUACAAAGAGCUGGAAAAUGAAAAGCAAACGACUAUAUUGAGAAUUAGAUAUGGAAUAUUUGCUGAGAUCCUGACAUUGAGAUUCAGGUGAAAGUGCAAAUCUAAAAAGUAAGGUUUAGAUACUUGGAAAAACAACCCAAGUGAGAAAUGGAAGUGUAAAGUCAAGUCCCAAGUCAGAAUUACCUGCUUAGAAAAACAUACUGGAAUUGGCUGGGGAGAUAUGGAUUAAUGGAGAGGCUUAGACAGGGACGAAUGCAUUAUUUGCAGGGACAGGUGGGAGUUAGGUGUGUAUACCAGCAGGGAGGUACUCAGAGAGACAGACAGGCAGGAGGGAAGAGACAGAGACAGGAGUGGGGAGAGAGAUAGACAAACAGAAAGGGAGAGACAGAGUGGAAAGAGGGGGGAGUUAGGUGUUUAUACCAGCAAUACAGAUGCAAGGGAUAGGGUAGAAUGAGGGUGGGAAUAAUAAAGAAUUCUAGGAGGGAAAGAAAGAUAAAAGAACAGAAGGAGGGUUAGGAGUGACCACGAGAGACCCAAAUGGAGCUACACGACGGACGGAUCACAGCGCUGGAUUCCAUGGAGAAGAUGCAACGGAUCAAGGAACAGCUGAAUUGGAUCUAUGAUGAAGGAAUACAGGUCAGCAAACAGCAAUCCUGAGAGGUGAACAUUUACAGCUUUGGUGGCUACCUCACGAAUCCAGGAGAUCCAGAGACUUCGAAUAAGAGUUGUCCGGCGAGAAGGAACUGUUUUCUUGCAACUGGACCUUUUUUUGGAGGAAUGAACUUAUAUCGGGACUGGAAUGGACCUUGUGACAUUGGAAAGUUCAGAAAAGCUACUGGAGGUUCGCGAGCUUGAGUCCAAGACAAACUUGGUAAUCUGCCAAGCCUAGUCUGCCAGCACGGCCCCAAGGGACAGCCAAGACACCAGGUCCUACAAGCAAGAAAGCAACUCUGUCCAUUGAUUGUACCACGUUCAGAAUUUAACAUGGCACACAAAUGCAUUGGAGGAAAAGCUUUAAGUUUGAUCUCACUUUCCUCAAGAACUAAAGUGGUUUGGGGGAAUAUAUGCCCUGGACUUUGGGGGGAGAAUAUCCUUCUGUUGUUACUGUGUCUUCCCAGUGAAUAGAUCUUUGUAUCAGGAAAUUGAUGUCAAUUGGUUAAAAGGAGGCAAUAAUCUACCCACAAGCACUGGCAACUGAUACUGAAUAAAAAACAUUGUUAAAGGCUCAGGCCAAAAGCAUUAGAACAAAAUAUUUCCAAUCUUUCAGAGACAGUCUGAGAACCCUGAGGUGAGAUGAAGGAGCUGACCCCAGAAACUCAAAGCUGCAGAGCAUGGCCUGCAUAUUCAGUUUCUCUCCUUACUGUUUCUUAGGAUUUUUGGGGAGGAAAGGGAGGGAAAGACAUGAAAUGCUUGAGGACUGUCCCUCCAGCACCCCAGAAAGGAAGCCUGGGAGGAAAAGCAGGAGGAGUAGUCUAAAUAUGAUUAAGGGCCAAGUAUCACAUCUAGGAGCUCUGAAAUUUUUCACCUUGUGUUUGUGCUGUUGUUUUUUUUUUAAACAUGACCACUUUAUAUUGAUUGCAUUUUAUGAAUGAGUUAUCCAGAAUAAGGAAAUUCCAGAAUUGGGGCAGAGUAUGGCCGUAGAUUUUAUUUUUCUUAUUACUGAGAUAUAUGUAUUGCACCUUUAACUUAAAUUAAGGAGCAGGCCAGGACCACAAGCCUCCAUGGGAAGGGAACUAGUCUGAGUUUGUUCAGACUGAGUCCCCUCUUGUAGCCAAUGGAGAUGCUAAAACAUUUGAGAAAGGCUAUUUGGCGGAGGUACCAGGGCAAGUCUAAUGGUGCCUCUAGGGUAAUGGCUGCAAUAAUGUCACGUAGUCAACAAUUCAUAUGCUUCCCUCUCUCUUUGGAUGAUUACUAUCAUACCUACCUAGUGGGGCUUCAGCAUAGUGGCACAGGAACUGUGUGGACCAAGUUCAAUUCCAAGUAUUUCAUGCAGCCUUUGCCAUUGUCACAGAGAAAUGAUGAUGAUCACAAGACAAUUUUCCAAAAAUUUAGGGUAGUUGGUGAAAACAGUCCCCCAAAUCAUAUUUUCUCUCUGAAAACAUUAACAUGAUGGAAAAAGAAUAGUACUAAGUAAUCUAAUCCUAGAAUGCUAGGAUGAUUAGGAGAAACUUACCAAAAUUUAGAGGAGUCGGUAAAAGCAGUCCCCAAAAUCAUAUUUUCUCUCUGAAAACAUUAACAUGAUGGAAAAAGAAUAGUACUGACUGAGUAAUCUAAUCCUAGAAUGCUAGGAUGAUUAGGAGAAACUUACCAAAAUUUAGAGGAGUCGGUAAAAGCAGUCCCCAAAAUCAUAUUUUCUCUCUGAAAACAUUAACACAGUGGAGAAAGAAUUUUAUUAACUGAGUAAUCUAAUCCUGGAACUCUAGGAUUUGCUUACAAAAUGUAAAAGAAAAUUCUUCACAUCCUGAAAGAAUCAAAUUGAGAGUGUCAAGCAGCUUUAGAAUUGGAAGCACAGAAACUAAGACUGUUGUCCAUUUCAUCAGUGUGCCUCAGGGGUUGAGGAAGAUGGGAGAGGAUAAGGAUGGGACAAAACAGCUCCCACUGGUGGGGUAGAACCUCAUCACAAGUGUAUAUUCAUGUUGGAUCCUUUUCCUGAACCCAGGAAGUAUCUUCACUAUAUGUACAUCCAGGAUGAUAGUGAAUCCCACCCCAUCCUUCCCCUACCAGCAGGAAAAAGGGAGCAAGCCGCAGUCCUCAAGACACUCCCUCCACUGCUAUAAAGGAGAGAGCACCAACCCACAACUGUCAGCUCCCUUCCCUCUUCUCAUUCUCAUCAACUGCAAAGAAUGAACACCCAGUCAUCAGAGCUGACACUGGGAAAUUUUGGGGGGACAAUAAUUCCAGGUGUCUUGCUAUGGGUUUGGAGUGGAGAUAUAGCUCUUCCACCACAAAUUAGACACAAAUGAAAUAAAUCCUUCAUCAAAUCCCGUUGUUGCUGUUGAUUGGAACUAAGGAAUAAUGAGAGGUAGCAUCUGUGCCCUAUGACAUGAGACAUGUCUAUGGAUUCCUCGAGGAAGUGGAAAGUAUUGGGAUGGUUAGUGAGGACUGUCUGAAGGAUAAGGGGAUAGUGGGAGGGAUCAGCAAGUAAGCUUUGGGUGCCUUCUCACAGUCCCGCAAAUAGGGAAGGGAGGGAGAACUAUGCUCCCAAUCCACGUGUAUAUGCCCCCCAUUCUUUCAUCCCUCCCAGCAUUGUACCCUGUGUUGCCAGGCUCUGUGCCUUUCCCUCUACUUAGUUACCAUCAGCCAGCAAAAAGGAGAGAAUGACUAUGUCUCUUUUUUCCUCCAAGCAGAACAAGUAAUCUUUGUAUGAAGUUAUAAUUUAGCUUAAUUUACUUUAAAACUUUCCCAUUUUGUAAAAAGAGAACAGUUUGGAACAAAAAAAGCUUGUGCAAGAAAAAGAUUAGUGCUAAAUGGAAUCCAGCUCCCGCAGCCCAGUGCUCAGGAUCAGUAAAGGGCAUUACCAGGAUGAUUCCUUGCAUGUAUAGCUUGAAUCACAUGAAAGCUGAGGUUCCUGUCAGCUCUCACCGUCUAUAACCCUGUGGGUCUCAACUUUAAUGCUCCUCUCAGAGAGCUCUGGCAGUAGACAUAUCCCCACCCAAUGUAGACACCUAAAGAAUGGGAACUAAAGAGGGGCCCAAGUUUGACCCCAAGCAGAGAGCUAACUAAAAUGGCACCCCGCUCAGAAAAGAUCAUGUGUUCAUGUGUUGCCUUUUUACAGGCCUGUGAUGGUCAGGUGAUUUAUGUCCCUUGUGGAAGGGACACUCUCUCAGACUUGCAUAGUAUUAAAAAGAUAGAAAUGGAAUGAAAUGAAACAAAAUUAAAUACAAGCAUUUGAAGCAAGGGAGUUUAAGCACAAGGUGUUGCUCAGGCAGGGAGAGUGGCUAUCUGACAUAAAGAAAAUAGGAAAUGGGGAGCGGGGUGCUCUGGAAGCCCAACCCCUGCUUCUGCUCCUUUUCCAGAGAUAUCCUGCAUUGAAAUACAACUCCAAGCUCAUUCCCCAUGUUGAAUUCUCUACUCCUAGUGGGACUAAGAAAAUAAAUGACUGUGUCUGGGAAGGAGGAGCUUGUUUCUUGGAAAUACCUAAAGCACCCCAACAGCCUGUGGUCGAUUUCCAUUCUUCUGAUUAAAACUUUUAUCAAGUA
Long non-coding RNA from Antechinus flavipes (yellow-footed antechinus), 6562 nucleotides. RefSeq lists it as uncharacterized. NCBI's taxonomy places the organism in Eukaryota, Metazoa, Chordata, Mammalia, Dasyuromorphia, Dasyuridae. The transcript is spliced from 3 exons. The record is from RefSeq and is a predicted model, not a curated record.